AUGACAAGACCACAGGCCGACUGGCCAAAGAGCCUGGGGAGGCAGAGAGGCACAGGGUGGGGGGAGGGGCAGCAACUGGUUUGCACAUUUGCACAGAUGACAUGGCCAGCAGGUCCCACAGGCCUGUCCUGCACAAGCCCCCUCCUGCUGGGCCGACAGCUGAGUGCGGCCAGUGUGGAGCCGGGUGGGGUCACGCACAAGGCUGCUGUACAGGAUGAAGAGUGGACUUGCUUGCACCCCAAGUCAGGGUGGUGGCCAGGCCUGCCCUGCCACCUCCUUGCCCGUUUCCCCAGCAAGACAAUAAAGAUGACAACAACAUCGCCACAGGCGGGCGUGUCUAAUUUCCUAGCACCGCAGCCUCAUCCCAGACUUGGCCAAGAACAAUUCUCUGCCGUUAUUAAGAAGGCGCUGGAGGAGGUCUGGAAGGCUGUGCUGGCACCACAGCGGAUGGUGAGAGCCCUGUUUCCAGAGGGAUCCUGGCACUGCCUCUCCCGGUUGGGUGACCUUGGAUGAGUCACCUAAGCUCUCUGCCCAAGUUCCCCUUCUUUAAACGAGGCCAUGAGCGACCUGCCGCUGGGGCUGUUGUGGGGAAUACGCGAGUUAGUGUGGUGGAGCUCCCAGCACAGAGAGCCGUCGGUCACAGGCAGCUCUUACCAGCCUCAUCGCCGUUGGAGCUGGGUCUGCCCUGAUCCCGGGGAGGGGAUGAAACUUAUGCAGGGACCAGAAGGGUCUGUCCACUCUGGAGGGUGACACGGUCCUCAGCGCCCUGCCUGUCUGCAGUGAUCCAGUGGCCCGCUCAUCUCUCACCGUCAGAAAGAACACAAAAACCCAAUAAGCAACAGCCCCCAUCCCUAGGACUUCAAGAGACUUAAAGUCAAGGGAAAACUUAAACAAUGACGUGCUUCUUUUAACUUCCCUCCCCCUCCAUGCUCUUCCUUCAGAAUUAAAAACCUGAGGCCGACAACGAAAUGUAACACAGUGUCCUGCAGGGGAGCCUGGAACAGAAAGAGGACAUCAGGGAAACAGUAGAAAUCUGAGCCAACUAUGGACUCUGGUUAAUAAUAACGUAUCAAUAUUGUUUCGUUAUUUGUCGCAAAUGUACCACACCACUGUAAGAUGAUUACACUAGAGGAACCACGUGUGUGUAUGCGUGAUGUGUGCACACACACACGUAGGAACUCUGUGUACUGUCUCUGCUAACUCUGUAAAUCUAAAACUGUUGUAAAAAAUGAGGUCUGUUAAAAAGAAAAGGUGGAGGACGGGACGUUUCGAGGACCACAUGUGUUGGCGAGGACCUGCCAUCCUGGCUGGGGCUGCCGGGGGUCUAGGCUACUGGCCUCUUGGGGCAGACGGCAGCUUUGGGAGGCUGACGAUGCACAGGGCCUUUUAGAUGCUCUGAAAAAUCGCAUAGUUAAGAAGCCUGCUCCACUUUGUUUAUCCCAGCGAUUUCUUGGAUGGUCUGAAGUGCCCCACCCAGUCUGUGCAGGUAGCUGCAGGCCAUUCUCCCUGACUGUUGCACCCCUGGGCCCCUGGGCCCGGUGUCCUAAUUAUGCUCUGUGGUGGUUUGGUGCUGCGUGUACUCCAGACAAAUCCGUCUUAAACCCCAUCCGUUCCUGCGGGUGAGAGCCCACUGCAAGCCAGGCCUCUGAAUGAGCUUACUGCAGUUAAGCCGUGACCACCUCGUUCAGGAUGGGUCUUACUGGUAUCACUGGAGUCCUAUAUAAACUGAAUAAAUGCGGAGAGAAAGAAAAAGCCAUGGAAGCGAGAAACUGAAAUUGACGAAACCUAGAAGAGAAGGGACAGACUAGCAGACACUACCAAGUGCCUGGCCAUGUGACACAAGACCCUGGGAUGGUUGGCAGCAAGCUUUUGGGAAGAAAGUAUCUCCUUAAUGGUGCCUUGAUUUGGACAUUUCCCCAGAUUCAAACCACGAGCAAAAAAACUCCCACUGUUUAAAACAGAACUAUUUCGUGGUAUUUACUUUAGCAGCCUGGAAAAAGAACACGUGCUCCCAGAAGACCACAGGACUGUGGAGGCCCGGGAGCACCAGGGUUUCCAGACACGGGGGCUGGGGCUGUGCGUGCAGGUGGGCUCCCUAUGGACGAGGGCUGAGUCCCUUCCAGACAUGGCUGCACAGGCCCCUGGCAACCUCUGGCCUAACCUGUCAUUGGCCGGCCUCUUAAGGCACAGGUCACGCGUACUGGGCUAGAACACAGAGCUUGUGCGAUUUCCCCUCUACGACUGUUCAUUCAGGCAGCUGGACCUUGAGCUUGCCAUGGCAUUAAAGAAGGAUCAUUACAAUGGAAGGUAGAAGAAUGAGAGGCAAAUCCUUGUAUUGGACUUCCAGAGAUGAUCCUGUAAGAAAUUGUUAACUCCUGAGCACACAAGGCCCGUGGUGGUUUAGGAGGUGCCUUUGAGGAAAUUUAGUAACAUAUAUCAAAUGUCAAGUUUUCCAUUCUAACAGCCUUCAGGCAUACCGUUUAGUGGUGCUAAUUGCAUUCACUGUGUUGCCUUACCAUUACCAAAACUUUUUCAUGACUCCAACAGAAACUUUGCAUCCAUAAAACUGUAACUCUCCACUCCCCUCCGCCCCAGACCCUGGUAUCCUCUACUUUCCAUGUCUAUGAAUUUGCAUUUCUAGUUCUUUCAUAUAAAUGGGAUCAUAAAAUAUCUGCCC
Molecule: long non-coding RNA, 2677 nt
Organism: Dasypus novemcinctus (nine-banded armadillo)
Lineage: Eukaryota; Metazoa; Chordata; Mammalia; Cingulata; Dasypodidae
Source: Ensembl